AUGUCUGUUUGUCUUCUUCAUGGACUCGUUCUUCUUCCUUGUGGGAUCUCGGGCAAGAUGACCAUACCCUCGAAAUCACUUAUAUCUUUGCUUGCUAGUUGUUCGCUCUUUUUCUAUGUCGCGAUACCUACCACUUGCUAUAUCAUGCCUCCCAUAUUGCCAUGUCAAGCCUCUAACCCAGCUUGCCUAGCAAACCGUUGUUUGGCUAUGUUACCGCUUUGCUCAGCCCCUCUUAUAGCGUUGCUAGUUGCAGGUGAAGAUGGAGUUUGUUCCAUGUUGGAACAUGGUUAUUGUUGGGAUAUCACAAUAUAUCUUACUUACUUAAUGCAUCUAUAUACUUGGUAA
RNAcentral lists this ribosomal RNA (345 nucleotides) under Triticum aestivum (bread wheat). RNAcentral's name for it is "partial small subunit ribosomal RNA". Lineage: Eukaryota; Viridiplantae; Streptophyta; Magnoliopsida; Poales; Poaceae. The record is from RNAcentral.